RNAcentral lists this ribosomal RNA (144 nucleotides) under Streptococcus suis. RNAcentral describes it as "partial 23S ribosomal RNA". It matches the Rfam family "Bacterial large subunit ribosomal RNA", at positions 2784 to 2925 of the family's 2925-position model. Lineage: Bacteria; Bacillati; Bacillota; Bacilli; Lactobacillales; Streptococcaceae. The record is from RNAcentral.
AGUGUGAAACCCACCUCAAGAUGAGAUUUCCCAUAACUUUAUGUUAGUAAGAGCCCUGAGAGAUGAUCAGGUAGAUAGGUUGGAAGUGGAAGUGUGGCGACACAUGUAGCGGACCAAUACUAAUCGCUCGAGGACUUAUCCAAA